RNAcentral lists this ribosomal RNA (253 nucleotides) under uncultured bacterium. RNAcentral describes it as "partial 16S ribosomal RNA". It matches the Rfam family "Bacterial small subunit ribosomal RNA", at positions 524 to 776 of the family's 1533-position model. The record is from RNAcentral.
UACGUAGGGUGCAAGCGUUAAUCGGAAUUACUGGGCGUAAAGCGUGCGCAGGCGGUUUUGCAAGUCCGAUGUGAAAUCCCCGGGCUUAACCUGGGAAUGGCAUUGGUGACUGCACGGCUAGAGUGUGGCAGAGGGGGGUAGAAUUCCACGUGUAGCAGUGAAAUGCGUAGAGAUGUGGAGGAAUACCGAUGGCGAAGGCAGCCCCCUGGGAUAACACUGACGCUCAUGCACGAAAGCGUGGGGAGCAAACAGG